GUGCAGCAAAGGAACGGGAUUCAAAUUGUAUUUAAAGGCCUCCCUCUGUCCUUGCAAAGCCACUGUUUCUCGAGCUUCAGAUCAGAGAGAGCUGGCUGCUCCUGCUGCUCCUGCUGCUGCUAACCUGAGAUGUUGCUGUGUUGGAGUCUCUGCUCUUUGCAGAGGUUUGCUGUGCCUGCCAGUGCUUUCCCUUUGGAUUUACUGCCUUAGUUUUUCCUGACCGGAUGUAUUAAUUAUUAUUUUUCCUGGUGGGAUUUUUUUCUCCUGUCCUAGAGCUGGGCUGUUUCUUGCUUUUUUAAAGCAGUGUGCCUGCCUCCCAGCCUGCUUGCCUGCCUGCCUGGCUGCUGAUGUGAGUGUGUGCCCAGCUAUGCAGCCUCUGGCCAAUUUUUAGUUCUUACUUACUUUGUUUUUCUAUUAACUUUGAAAUUUAAAACUGUGCCUGGCUUUCCUCCUGCUGCCUGCUGCCCAGUCACCUCACCAUAGUCAGAGAGAGGCUUUUUCUCUCUCUGAUUUAAAUUUUCUUUGAGAUCUCUCUCUCUCUCUCUCUCUCUUUAAAUUUGCAUUGAUUAAUUUCUGGGGGUUUGGGGGUCCUCCUGGCCCCCAUGCAUCUGCCCUCCUGUGAGCGAGUGGGUGCUGUUCUGCUCCUUUGUUGCUUGGCCCAGCAGCCCCUGGCUAGCCCCCUGUCCUAUUCAGCUUGACUUCUAGAAAAUGGAGAGUGGCACAACACAAACAGGAAAGGAGUCCUCCUUUAUAAGAGGUCUGAACAAAACAGCACUGCUGAAUAUUCCGCCUUCACUGGAUAACAGUUUCUGCUAAAAAAAAAGAAGAAGAAGAAGCAGCUUUAUUAUCAUCUCUCAAGGAUCCAGCCCAAAGCAAAGUAUACCUCUUGUCCUUGCUCCAGUGCGUACUAAUUUGCAAUUCAGCAUAAUUGAAAAAAAUGCCAGUGAUUGAUAUGCCCUGUGUUCCCAAGCUCAUGUCUAGUAUCUCCAUUUCUUAAAACUUUCAAAUACGGGACCCUUGACAGAUGUAAGCUGCAACAGAUCUCUCAGAACUUUGUCAUACUAUAUUUUAGAAUCUACAUUCAAGUCCAGAGCGGAGGGCUGGUCUACCCUAUGGCCCCCAAUUGGUUUAUCAUCUCUUCCCAAGAAAAAACACCAUUUUGAGGCCCAUUUCUCCAGCUCUCACUGGAAAAAUGGCCUCAAAAUGGUGCUUGAAUCACCCAAAUCAAUUUAGGUUGAACUGGGGGUGAUUCUCUUUGACCCUGAAUUGGGCUCUUUAUUUUGAAGGUGACUUGAUUUGAGGUCACACACACACACCCCGAUUUGACCCAAAUCACCCCUGAUUAAACCCGAAGUCGUAUCAAAUUGCACAUCUCUGCUUCAUACACAUGAAUACAGCAAGCAUUAUUUGUUGGCCUGUGACCAAAUGUGGCUUCUAUAAGCCGUGGUCCUUGAUGGCAUCUCUGAGAAUCCAGACAAAAUUGUCUCUUAAAAUCUAGCUAAAGUUUUAUGCCUCUGCAUGUUUGUGCAUUAUUUAUUAUUAGGAUUUUAUGAUUUUUUUUAUCACUGAAUAUGUCUCUCUUUUAUGAGGUACAAAAAAAUCACAAGCUUGCCAGUUCACUGGGAGUAAAAUUGAGGUCAUAAACCACCAAAAUCGCUCAUCUGGCUUCCCUCACCCCUUGCAGAAGGUGGCUAUCCCUAGAUGCCAACCAAAUUGCUGUCUUUACAUUGCUUCUUAUUAAAAAUGCCCCACUGAGUUCAUUGGGGUUGUUCUGAAGUAAGGGGCUUGAGUCAUGAACAAAUAAUAUUAGUGCCAUGCUUGAAUGGAGACGAUUCUGAACCCUAGAUGAUGGAUCUGUUUGAACUACUUGUGUUAUUUUAAAACAUUAUUAAAGUCAUUUCUCACUUUCGUUGUUUUUUAAAAGAAGGAAGGUGGCCUGUGUCAACAGUCUCAUUGAAACAAAAGAUCUUCUCUGUUGUCAUUAUUGCUUCUGCUUUGGCCUCCCUCUCCUUCCAUUCUUGUUCUCAUUUAUACCGCAGUAUGUGAACGCGUAAGUUUAUGUUUGUGUCUUCCCAGGAGGGUGUCGAUAUAAAAUAAUAGAGGAAAACACUUACUCAGGUGGAGGCAUGGA
Long non-coding RNA from Hemicordylus capensis (graceful crag lizard), 2131 nucleotides. RefSeq lists it as uncharacterized. The record is from RefSeq and is a predicted model, not a curated record. The transcript is spliced from 2 exons. NCBI's taxonomy places the organism in Eukaryota, Metazoa, Chordata, Lepidosauria, Squamata, Cordylidae.